This 446-nucleotide ribosomal RNA is filed under the name uncultured bacterium. RNAcentral's name for it is "bacterial SSU rRNA". It matches the Rfam family "Bacterial small subunit ribosomal RNA", at positions 29 to 518 of the family's 1533-position model. The record is from RNAcentral.
AGCGAACGCUGGCGGCAGGCUUAACACAUGCAAGUCGAACGGGCGUAGCAAUACGUCAGUGGCAGACGGGUGAGUAACGCGUGGGAACGUACCUUUUGGUUCGGAACAACCCAGGGAAACUUGGGCUAAUACCGGAUAAGCCCUUACGGGGAAAGAUUUAUCGCCGAAAGAUCGGCCCGCGUCUGAUUAGCUAGUUGGUGAGGUAACGGCUCACCAAGGCGACGAUCAGUAGCUGGUCUGAGAGGAUAAUCAGCCACACUGGGACUGAGACACGGCCCAGACUCCUACGGGAGGCAGCAGUGGGGAAUAUUGGACAAUGGGCGCAAGCCUGAUCCAGCCAUGCCGCGUGAGUGAUGAAGGCCCUAGGGUUGUAAAGCUCUUUUGGCGGGGAAGAUAAUGACGGUACCCGCAGAAUAAGCCCCGGCUAACUUCGUGCCAGCAGCCGC